RNAcentral lists this ribosomal RNA (504 nucleotides) under uncultured bacterium. Its description in RNAcentral is "partial 16S ribosomal RNA". It matches the Rfam family "Bacterial small subunit ribosomal RNA", at positions 30 to 523 of the family's 1533-position model. The record is from RNAcentral.
AUUGAACGCUGGCGGCAGGCCUAACACAUGCAAGUCGAACGGUAGCACAGAGAGCUUGCUCUCGGGUGACGAGUGGCGGACGGGUGAGUAAUGUCUGGGAAACUGCCCGACGGAGGGGGAUAACUACUGGAAACGGUAGCUAAUACCGCAUAACGUCGCAAGACCAAAGUGGGGGACCUUCGGGCCUCACACCAUCGGAUGUGCCCAGAUGGGACUAGCUAGUAGGUGGGGUAAUGGCUAACCUAUGCGACGAUCCCUAGCUGGUCUGUGAGGAUGAACAGCCACACUGGAACUGAGACACGGUCCAUACUCCUACGGGAGGCAGCAGUGGGGAAUAUUGCACAAUGGGCGCAUGCCUGAUGCAGCCAUGCCGCGUGUAUGAAGAAGGCCUUCGGGUUGUAAAGUACUUUCAGCGGGGAGGAAGGCGGUGAAGUUAAUAAUUUCACCGGUUGACGUUACCCGCAGAAGAAGCACCGGCUAACUCCGUGCCAGCCGCCGCGGUAA